This 497-nucleotide ribosomal RNA is filed under the name uncultured bacterium. RNAcentral describes it as "partial 16S ribosomal RNA". It matches the Rfam family "Bacterial small subunit ribosomal RNA", at positions 28 to 507 of the family's 1533-position model. The record is from RNAcentral.
GAUGAACGCUGGCGGCGUGCCUAAUACAUGCAAGUCGAGCGAACAGACGAGGAGCUUGCUCCUCUGACGUUAGCGGCGGACGGGUGAGUAACACGUGGAUAACCUACCUAUAAGACUGGGAUAACUUCGGGAAACCGGAGCUAAUACCGGAUAAUAUAUUGAACCGCAUGGUUCAAUAGUGAAAGACGGUUUUGCUGUCACUUAUAGAUGGAUCCGCGCCGCAUUAGCUAGUUGGUAAGGUAACGGCUUACCAAGGCAACGAUGCGUAGCCGACCUGAGAGGGGGAUCGGCCAAACUGGAACUGAGACACGGUCCAGACUCCUACGGGAGGCAGAAGUAGGGAAUCUUCCGCAAUGGGCGAAAGCCUGACGGAGCAACGACGCGUGAGUGAUGAAGGUCUUUGGAUCGUAAAACUCUGUUAUUAGGGAAGAACAAAUGUGUAAGUAACUAUGCACGUCUUGACGGUACCUAAUCAGAAAGCCACGGCUAACUACGUG